CUGUGAGCGCGUGGUCCUGGUCGCGAGCACAUGGAAGUGAGCUCGAGUUGAGACGCGCCUCCGACUAUCUCCAUCGUGCAAACAUUAAUAAUAAUAAUGUUUUAAAAAAAACGGAAUAUGACCAGAAAGAUGGAGCAUCAGGAGCUGAGACACAGCAGCGGCUUUUAAAACUAAAUCUUCCUCUUAAGAUGCACGAGCAGGCGGCGGCUGCUGCUGCUGCUGCUGGGGCCACAGAAGCUCCCCGCUGAGGAUUCAAUUAACGCACAAUUGAGGAUUUUGGACUAACUAGGAUGCAAAGAUGGAAGCAGACAGUGUUGCAUUCAGUUUCACAGCAUCUUUUAGAAGCAUACACGUACACAGAUGAGUUUUAAUAGUAUCUACUUCCCCUUUCUCUGACAGGACACAGAUACACCCUGACUGGGCCCCCCUGUGGUUCAUUGAGUUUGGGAAGUACCUAGUAGUACAACUGCCACGAUUGCUCUUAAAGGGCCAGCAGGGUGUUUUAUUUACAUGAAACCAAAGGUCAUAUUACUGAACGUUUUGAACUUUUUUAACUUACAUUUAGGUUUGUUGUGUAUAAUUGAUGUGGUGAUGAGGACUUUGAUAUUUGAGACCUGGAAAUCAAGACACGACUCUAUAUGGACACAAGUGAAAAAGGGGAGGGAUUUGCUUUGCAGCCAAUCCUAAACCUAUGUAAUUUUUUUUUUAUUGCCUAUUUUCAGCAAUUUUGUAGCUCAUUUUAGGCACUUGUUAUUGUUAAAUGUUGGAAAAAGGUGCACACUUUAUGAAUAAAAUCCUCAUUGCUUUUUUUAUGUGUGGUAUCCAGUUAAUCAAGGAAGCCUAUGAAGCCACCUGAAGACUAGUGAGCGCUGCCUACUGUGACAGGGGAAAACCUUUCACUCUUCUUAUGAGCCGCUUGUACUUUUUAACAGAUCAUUUCACACCCACAAGACACCUUACUGCAGAAUUUCAGUGUUGUUGUUUUUACAUGUGAUUAACAGCUGAGUCAGUGGCAUCAAUUCCCAUCAACUAAUUUUCUGAAGAGAUACUUCAAAAUAAAUGUGAAAGGUGAUGACUUUAGGGGGAAAAUGAAUGAAACAGAGCAUGUACACCGUCAAAAAUGUUGAGAAAAACAUGCAGUAAAGCUGCUAGAUGCCGAUAGAGGUUGCAUGUUGCGACUGUUGUUGACAGAAUCGACUGCCUUAUUGGUCUUACACACCAGUGUCUGGGUUUAGUGCACCACAAACCAAAAGUGGGUUAGUUUUUCAUGUCUUGAAUCCUGAAAACACCCUAGUUAUGUAAUCUACACAUUUGCCCAAACAUUUCUGAGAAUGUUUAAAAUGAAACCGAAGGUAAAAGAAUGAAAAACCGUAAGUUUGAGAACCGUAAAGCUGAAAUGGUUAUGCAUGCACCGUUCUUCUGCACGACAGCGAAUAAAUAACGAUACAAAAUCUUUCACUCUCAGUUUCAAUCUUAAAAUUUAAUUGUCACGUUGACUUAAGUCGAUUGUGCGCCUGAAGCGGUCUGUUUACAAAUGGAGGUAUGAGGGCUGCCUGGGCAGCAGCUCCGCCUUGUGGUAAGUGGUGGACAUGGGAACCUAAUUUCAACUUUACAUAAGCUGUUGGGGGGGGAAAAAAAACAAGCAGAGAUGCUCCGUGAACUUAUUAAAGCUGUU
Non-coding RNA from Poecilia reticulata (guppy), 1675 nucleotides. Lineage: Eukaryota; Metazoa; Chordata; Actinopteri; Cyprinodontiformes; Poeciliidae. The record is from RefSeq and is a predicted model, not a curated record.